Molecule: ribosomal RNA, 506 nt
Filed under: uncultured bacterium
Lineage: Bacteria
Description: partial 16S ribosomal RNA
Rfam family: Bacterial small subunit ribosomal RNA
Source: RNAcentral
AGUGAACGCUGGCGGUAGGCCUAACACAUGCAAGUCGAACGGCAGCACAGGAGAGCUUGCUCUCUGGGUGGCGAGUGGCGGACGGGUGAGGAAUACAUCGGAAUCUACUUUUUCGUGGGGGAUAACGUAGGGAAACUUACGCUAAUACCGCAUACGACCUACGGGUGAAAGCAGGGGAUCUUAGGACCUUGCGCGAUUGAAUGAGCCGAUGUCGGAUUAGCUAGUUGGCGGGUUAAAGGCCCACCAAGGCGACGAUCCUUAGCUGGUCUGAGAGGAUGAUCAGCCACACUGAGACUGUGACAAGAUCCAGAAUCCUACGGGAGGCAGCAGUGGGGAAUCUUGGAAAAUGGGCGCAAGCCUGUUCCAGCAAUAACGCGUGAGUGAAGAAGGCCUUCGGGUUGUAAAGCCCUUUUGUUGGGAAAGAAACCCAGCUGACUAAUACCCGGUUGGGAUGACGGUACCCAAAGAAUAAGCACCGCCUAACUUCGUGCCAGCAGCCGCCGCCG